Molecule: ribosomal RNA, 449 nt
Filed under: uncultured bacterium
Lineage: Bacteria
Description: partial 16S ribosomal RNA
Rfam family: Bacterial small subunit ribosomal RNA
Source: RNAcentral
AACGAACGCUGGCGGCAUGCCUAACACAUGCAAGUCGAACGAGAUCUUCGGGUCUAGUGGCGCACGGGUGCGUAACGCGUGGGAAUCUGCCCUUUGGUUCGGAAUAACAGUUGGAAACGACUGCCAAUACCGGAUGAUGACGAAAGUCAAAAGAUUUAUCGCCAGAGGAUGAGCCCGCGUAGGAUUAGCUAGUUAGUGUGGUAAAGGCGCACCAAGGCGACGAUCCUUAGCUGGUCUGAGAGGAUGAUCAGCCACACUGGGACUGAGACACGGCCCAGACUCCUACAGGAGGCAGCAGUGGGGAAUAUUGGACAAUGGGCGAAAGCCUGAUCCAGCAAUGCCGCGUGAGUGAUGAAGGCCUUAGGGUUGUAAAGCUCUUUUACCCGGGAUGAUAAUGACAGUACCGGGAGAAUAAGCUCCGGCUAACUCCGUGCCAGCAGCCGCAGUAA